UCCCCUGCAAUUACGCGGAGCGCGGGGUAUUUGGACUCCUCUCCUCCUGGGGGGCCAGGGCGGAGGCAGCGCGCAGGGAUUAGAACUCACACCCCUGCACAAGCGCUGCCACAUCGAAGUGCUCUAAAAAUUUGUUGUUGCUGGUUUUGCUCUCMUUUCUCGAAGAAAAAAAAAUGUUUGAGUAAUUUCCUACAAGGUCGGAGGAGCGAGUUAUAUUUGCUGUGAUAUUUGCUUUGGUAACUAACCGCUAAACGUGUGUAGAUCAAAUAUUUGUAAUUAAACCGUAAAUUGUACACAGAAAUGAAGAACGAAGAAGCUGGCAACGUUUCGAUCGCAUUCCUGACAUCACCUUGUGUUGGCCUGGGAAUGAAUCGCAGCCCUUCCUGCCGGGUGCAAAUGCUCCUUAUAAUUUUAUUGUAUGGAAACCUAAACAUUUCCCGCGAUCACUAAUUGGGUUUGAGGUCUCU
This is a long non-coding RNA of Nothoprocta perdicaria, 467 nucleotides long. RefSeq lists it as uncharacterized. The record is from RefSeq and is a predicted model, not a curated record. NCBI's taxonomy places the organism in Eukaryota, Metazoa, Chordata, Aves, Tinamiformes, Tinamidae. The transcript is spliced from 2 exons.